This 432-nucleotide unclassified non-coding RNA is filed under the name soil metagenome. Its description in RNAcentral is "partial contains 5.8S ribosomal RNA, internal transcribed spacer 2, and large subunit ribosomal RNA". The stretch from base 1 to 120 matches the Rfam family "5.8S ribosomal RNA", at positions 35 to 154 of the family's 154-position model. The record is from RNAcentral.
GAUGAAGAACGUAGCGAAAUGCGAUACGUAAUGUGAAUUGCAGAAUUCAGUGAAUCAUCGAAUCUUUGAACGCAUAUUGCGCUCUCUGGUAUUCCGGAGAGCAUGCUUGUUUGAGUAUCAGUAAACACCUCAACUUCCAUAUCUUUUUUGAAAUGGGAGUUGGACUUGAGUGAUCCCAACGCUUUUCCUCACCGAAAAGUGGCGGGUUACUUGAAAUGCAGGUGCAGCUGGACUUUUCUCUGAGCUAUAAGCAUAUCUAUUUAGUCUGCCUAAAAAACAGAUUAUUACCUUUGCUGCAGCUAACAUAAAGGAGAUUAGUUCUUGUGCUGACUGAUGCAGGAUUCACAAAGACGGCUUCGGCCGACUUUGUAAACUCGAUCUCAAAUCAAGUAAGACUACCCGCUGAACUUAAGCAUAUCAAUAAGCGGAGGA